This 606-nucleotide ribosomal RNA is filed under the name Nocardia nova. RNAcentral's name for it is "bacterial SSU rRNA". It matches the Rfam family "Bacterial small subunit ribosomal RNA", at positions 46 to 669 of the family's 1533-position model. Lineage: Bacteria; Bacillati; Actinomycetota; Actinomycetes; Mycobacteriales; Nocardiaceae. The record is from RNAcentral.
GCUUAACACAUGCAAGUCGAGCGGUAAGGCCCUUCGGGGUACACGAGCGGCGAACGGGUGAGUAACACGUGGGUGAUCUGCCUCGCACUCUGGGAUAAGCCUGGGAAACUGGGUCUAAUACCGGAUAUGACCACUGAUCGCAUGGUUGGUGGUGGAAAGAUUUAUCGGUGCGAGAUGGGCCCGCGGCCUAUCAGCUUGUUGGUGGGGUAAUGGCCUACCAAGGCGACGACGGGUAGCCGACCUGAGAGGGUGACCGGCCACACUGGGACUGAGACACGGCCCAGACUCCUACGGGAGGCAGCAGUGGGGAAUAUUGCACAAUGGGCGGAAGCCUGAUGCAGCGACGCCGCGUGAGGGAUGACGGCCUUCGGGUUGUAAACCUCUUUCGACAGGGACGAAGCGCAAGUGACGGUACCUGUAGAAGAAGCACCGGCCAACUACGUGCCAGCAGCCGCGGUAAUACGUAGGGUGCGAGCGUUGUCCGGAAUUACUGGGCGUAAAGAGCUUGUAGGCGGUUCGUCGCGUCGAUUGUGAAAACUUGCAGCUCAACUGCAAGCUUGCAGUCGAUACGGGCGGACUAGAGUACUUCAGGGGAGACUGGAAUUC